GACGAACGCUGGCGGCGUGCUUAACACAUGCAAGUCGAGCGGUAAGGCCCUUUCGGGGGUACGACGAGCGGCGAACGGGUGAGUAACACGUGGGUGACCUGUCCUCAGCUCUGGGAGUAAGCCCGGGAAACUGGGUCUAAUACCGGAUAUGACUUCAUGACGCAUGUUGUGGAGUGGAAAGCCUUGUGCGGCUGAGGAUGGGCCCGCGGCCUAUCAGCUUGUUGGUGGGGUGAUGGCCUACCAAGGCGACGACGGGUAGCCGGCCUGAGAGGGCGGACCGGCCACACUGGGACUGAGAUACGGCCCAGACUCCUACGGGAGGGCAGCAGUGGGGAAUCUUGCGCAAUGGGCGAAAGCCUGACGCAGCGACGCCGCGUGAGGGAUGACGG
Molecule: ribosomal RNA, 389 nt
Filed under: uncultured bacterium
Lineage: Bacteria
Description: bacterial SSU rRNA
Rfam family: Bacterial small subunit ribosomal RNA
Source: RNAcentral